AACGAACGCUGGCGGCAUGCCUAACACAUGCAAGUCGAACGAGACCUUCGGGUCUAGUGGCGCACGGGUGCGUAACGUGUGGGAACCUGCCUUUAGGUUCGGAAUAACUCAGAGAAAUUUGAGCUAAUACCGGAUAAUGUCUUCGGACCAAAGAUUUAUCGCCUUUAGAUGGGCCCGCGUAAGAUUAGCUAGUUGGUGGGGUAAAGCCUACCAAGGCGACGAUCUUUAGCUGGUCUGAGAGGAUGAUCAGCCACACUGGGACUGAGACACGGCCCAGACUCCUACGGGAGGCAGCAGUGGGGAAUAUUGGACAAUGGGCGAAAGCCUGAUCCAGCAAUGCCGCGUGAGUGAUGAAGGCCUUAGGGUUGUAAAGCUCUUUUACCCGAGAUGAUAAUGACAGUAUCGGGAGAAUAAGCUCCGGCUAACUCCGUGCCAGCAGCCGCGGUAAU
This 449-nucleotide ribosomal RNA is filed under the name uncultured bacterium. RNAcentral's name for it is "bacterial SSU rRNA". It matches the Rfam family "Bacterial small subunit ribosomal RNA", at positions 29 to 524 of the family's 1533-position model. The record is from RNAcentral.